GAUUAGGGUACGGAGGAUUUAAACGCUUCAUUUUGGUCAACGGUUAAGUUCCGGGAAGAGGAGGACAUUACGCAGGCGCAAUGAAAAACAUUCCAUAUCUUAAACAUCUUUCAACUCUAAUUGCCAGAAGAGAUACAGAAAAGACACUUAAGAGAACAUGCACCAAGAAAAAAAGGCACAUUUGCUUCAAUAUGGCCCUUUUUGUACUCCUACUCUCAGUGUUAUGACCAACUGUUCUUAUUUUCAGCUGACUUAUGUCCUAGCUCCAACUCCCCAGGGGGCUGGAAGGGCUCAAUAAAUAAGCGAAAAAAAGGAACAUUGUGAAGAAA
Suricata suricatta (meerkat) is the source of this 329-nucleotide long non-coding RNA. RefSeq lists it as uncharacterized. The transcript is spliced from 2 exons. The record is from RefSeq and is a predicted model, not a curated record. NCBI's taxonomy places the organism in Eukaryota, Metazoa, Chordata, Mammalia, Carnivora, Herpestidae.